AUACACUUCAGGGGGCCGGGGAUUUAGCUCAGUGGUCCCUCCACCUGCUUCACAAGUGCAAGGUCCUGAGUUCGAUUCCCGAUACCAAAAAAUAAAUAAAUAAAUAAAUAAAUAAAUAAAUAAAAAUAAUACAAAUAUAUACACUCUUCAGAGGUUCGGCACUUCUCUUCAUCUACAGAACCCGACGACAGCUCUCAAAUUUAAUAAAGUUUUCAAUGGUAAUUGCUUCUUACAGAACAUUUAUUACGUGUUAGGCCUGGAGCAACGUGAGCUCUUCACAUACACCAUCUGGCGUAAUCCUCCUGCAGCCUGUGACGUGGACAGGGGUUAGCAUUUCCCAAGCGCACAGCCACAUGGGAAAAAGCCAGAACCUCGGACUGCCAAACACUACGCUCUUGGCUCGAGGCCCCCAAGUGGUGUGUAAAGAUCAUCGCUCCCGCACAGCAUGAAUUUCUCAUUUGACGACUGCCUGGAAGGUGUUAAAAACAAAAAAACCCUUUCUGUAAGAAGAUGUACGCAUUUAUACGCUAAGUGUCCAGCCUUAUCCACUGCUUAAAACUCCCACCAUCUGGAAAAUGAAGUUGCUCUUAGAAAUUUAUGCUGAUCAGGGCAGCUGGCGCCGGUUCACGGGCAGCACCAAGCCCAGAGCCGGUCGUGAAAACUGUAUUUGCAAAGCCCGGACUAAGCACCUACCCAGCCUGUCCCGACAGCUCGUCUAUACUUUUUACGGCCGUCCCAGCCCGGGUCCUGGAUGAAACACAGGCCACACGCGACCUGGGCAGUUCCAGGAAAGUGAGAAGGGGCCGAGGGUGGCCAAGCUCACAGUCGGCGGUGAGACCCAGAGCCCUGGAGGUCAGCAAGAGGGCACUGACCCACCUCCGCCCGUCUGUUCAGGGGAGCCCUGGAACUCCUGGUCAGGGGAAGUGGGCAAGAACAGGAAAUUUAAGGGAUCCCACAGAAAUAAGUACCGCCGUCCACAGGUGAAAGCAUAUGCACACAGUCCCAAGGCGCCCCUAAAAAAGCUGACAGAACUGAUGGACGAAUCUGGCAGGAGACAAAGCCAACACACACACAGAUGAGUCCCAUCUCUGUGCUGACGCUGAAUGGGCCGAACAGGAAAUUAAGAAAACAGUCCUACGUACAAUAACGUCAACAGGUUUACUCAGGAAUAAGCUUGCCCAAGUAGCCAGACGACUCACACCCUGAGCCCUAAAGGGAAGGAGCUGGGUGCGAGGUGUGCGGACGCCCAGUGCGGUGCCGCUGGGGUGGGCUAGGGGCGCUGUUAGCGCCAGCGGAGCAGAGCUGGGGCCUUGGUGAGGCUCCGUGCAGAGAGUCUGCAGGUGGGAAGCAAGGAGAGCAAGCACCUCACCUCCCCCGGCCUCCCACCUGCCCACACCGGCGCCGCCGUGGCUCAUCCAGCACAGCAGACAAGCGUCCUCUCUGGAGCCCUGCAGCCAGCACGAGGCGGGGACAGGAAGGCCACAGAACCACCUGGUGCGGGGACAGGAAGGCCACGGAACCGCCCGGCACGGCCCGCACCCGCACCUCCUCUACCGCAGAUCCUUCUCACACCGCUGGCCCGCUCCUGCCCACCCCACAGCACCCUCCAGGGAUGCUCUCCAGAGUCAGCCCCCCAGAGCUGCGCGUGGGGGCGCACACCUGACAUCUCGGCACCUUGGGGGGCUGAGGCAGGAGGAUCACACAUUCGAACCCAGACUGGGCAACUUAGCGAGAUCCCAUCUUGAAAUAAGAAGCAAAAAAGAGCCGGGGAGGUGGCUUGGCACAAAGGUCCUCGGUUCGAGGCUCAGGACCCUCCCCCAACACACGAAGUCCACGCAAGCAGCACUCGGUCAGGAGGCCCACGCAAAACCUGGCCCAUGCAACCCACCAAGCUGUCAGCUGCCCCCCGGAGCACACGAGUCACACAUGACAGCCAACCCCGUGGCUCUGCCUCUGAAAGCAGACUGCCUCUGCAGCAAGAAAGGACUUUUAGAAGAGCAAAUGGCACAAGUCAGGGAUAGUGGCGAGGCCUGUAAUCCCAACUCUUGGGAGGCUGAGGCAGGAGGACUGCAAAUUCAAGGCCAGCCUGGGCUACAUCGUGGAGCCUGUCUCAAAAACACAAAAAACAAAGAGAAAAAAACGUCCAAGUGAGCCCACUUCCUCCGGAAAGCCCCCAAAGCCUGCUCCACCCCCACCUGGAAAGGCCAGUUCCGGGAGACUGGGAGGGAGCGGCGGUGCAGAGCUGGCCAACACGGGCCCAGUGUGCGGCAGGGACGUGGCCAGGGCCACAGGGUGGCCCUCGGGGUGAGCGUGGAGAGUGACUCUGUGGGCCCCGCCCUUUGAGCUUUACAGAACUAUCCAGCCAUGGCUGUUGCUGUGUUGAUGUUUUGAGGGUCUCACUACGUAGCUUAGACUGGCUUUACACUCACAGCAAUCCUCCUGCCUCAGCCUCCUGUGUGCUGGGAUUACAGGUGUGCACCACCACACUUGGCUUCUAACCAGCUCUGAAAAGUCUGCACAUAUAUUUCUACUUAUUCAUUUAGGUGCUAGGGGUUGACCCCAGGACCGCAUGGAUAUGCCCCCCCGGCGCACAAACGUUCCCUAGGGCGUCCCUCAGAACUGGCAGAGGCGACUGAGCCUAUGCCGUGGAUGCACUGCACGCCCACUCACUCACCUACCCCAGAGCUGGCGGAGGGUCACAGCUUUCCGCCCCCUCCCGAAUGCCCCGGGGCUUGGGAGCUUCUGGUCCUCGGCUGGGCUCGGCCAGCGCCCCUGUCUCCCUAAGACUGGGAGCUCCCGCACGGCAGGCUUCUGUCUGCGUCAUUCACUGCUGCAGCCCAGCCGGCGCCGAGAAGUCAGCCACCACAUGUUUGUUGAAUGAAGGAAUGAACAUAAAUGAAGUUGGCCUCUGCUAAUGAGUCUAUGAUUUUUUUUUCUUGAGACAAGGUCUUGCUAAACUGCCCAGGCUGGUCUCAAACUUGCAACCCUCCUGCCUCAGCCUCCCAAGUAGCUGGGCUUACACAGACAUACCCCACACCCUGCUAAUCUAAGAUUCUGUGCGAGCCAGGCUUCCCCAGGUAUAGUCCUCGGCCCAGCACCACCAACUGGGAACUUUGCACAAGUUCGAAUUCUUAGGCCUCAUCCAGAGCUACUGCAUCAAAAGUCGGGUAUGCCAAGCGUUGCAGGCAGCUCUGACAGGCGCGGGGUGGGCACCAGGGCAUAGCAUCCCCGACGCCACUAGCCCUCGUGGCAAAGGCAGGAGGCGGGCAGCCAACCACUCCCUGACCCCCACACAUGCUAACCCACCCACCCUGGGCUCAGCUGAUGAUGACGCUGACGCUGCCCGGGUGGCAACACCAGGACAGGCUGGACGUCGCCCCAGGUGACCAGAGCAGCGUUCCUCGGUGACGCUGAGCGGGGGGCGGGGGGGCACAGAGACCAAAGCCAGAGCGAUCAGGCGGGUAAGCAGUCUCUGCCCGGGGCCAGGCAGAGCACGGGACGGAGGCUCCAGGAGAGAAGCCCCGUGUGGCCCAGGGUGGCUUCGGCUCCGGGCAGCGCCCCGAGCUGAGCAGCCGAAGCCCAAGCCCCUCCACUGGUCCUCACUGGGUCUCUCUCUGCUCAGGAUGCAAAGGGUGUGCGAGCGGCGUGUACGCCCCUCCGCGCAGGGCCUCCCCCCGCAGGCUCUCGGCAGGGACCCGCUGGCUCCUGGGACACAGUCCGCCGUCAGCUCACAGUCACUGUGCCCCCACCGUGGAGCGCUGUGUCCACUAAAGCUUGCUGACAAGCCCUGGAGAGCAGGCAGCUCGCCGGCUCCCGCCCGCCCGUGCCUGCGCCCCACUCGCCUCUCCUCCUCCCCGAAACGCCUUCCUCAGGCCCGGCCCUGCGCCCAGGUCUCCUGGCCACCGCCCGCGUCUGGCACGAAGUCCAGGCCGAAGGCUGGAGCCUUAAACUGUCCGGCCUGGCCGUGCACGCGGCCGGCCGGGAACCUGCAGGUGUGAGCCUCACUGCCGCGCCUGACUGCCACCCUCCUCGCUGUGUGAGACUCAGCGGGCCCCUGGAGACCAGUGAAUGCGGGCGAGGGCCGCUGAGGCCUGCAGGAGCCGGGGGUCUGCGCGGCCCCUGCCCUUGCUGCCUCCAUCCCAAGGUGCCGCAGCCCCGGCCCGGGGAGGGGACCCCGCGCCACUGUCCGCCGGCGCCCGGUGGGCAGGGCCAGGGUACCGCAGGAAUCGCUCACCACAGCCGCAAACCCUUCCAGGCAGGCCUCCCUUGGGGGCCAGGCUAGGCCAGAGCGACAGUCCGCCUCAGGGGCAGAAGGACGCCUCUGUGCGCUAGCCAAAGGAACAGGCGGAUGGUAGGGAGAGGUGAUAGACGCAGUCGGCCAGCAGACCACCUACACCUGCCGGACGGCCAAGCGCGCGGGGCGGGCAGGGGCUGCGAGGACAACCCUGGAGGGAAUGGAGAGCACUGCGGCGCUUCCCCACGAACCGUCAGCCCACUCCGGGACACAGCCGCAGGGGCGGCCCACACACUCCGGAAACGGGCAUCACAACGUCCCUCAGCACGGAGGCCGAGGCGCCACCCGGUGAACGACGCGGAACGCGGGAGCCACGCGCGACAGCACCAGGUCUGCAAGCACGCCGCUCGCUCGAGCUCAUUCUGGUGAAGAGAUUAUUGUGAGGUGUGCUGACUACAGCCCGGAGAACAGGAAGGAAAGAGAUGAGAAGCUGAUGUAAACUCACAGCUUCAAGCUAAAACAACAAAGGAAAAGAAAAAGCGGCCCCACGACCCCUCCUGCACCCUGAAGAUCAGCCACAGUGCAUUCUGCGUUUAGAACAACCAAAAAGCAGCAAGAACUUCUCUGUGGCCAGACCUGAUGCCCAUGCUUGAAAUCCCAGCUGCUGCAGUCGCUGAAGCAGGAGGAUUUCUUGAGCCCAGGAGUUUGUGGCUAGCCUGAGAGAUGUAGAGACUCCACCUCAAAAGAUAGAAAA
Heterocephalus glaber (naked mole-rat) is the source of this 4988-nucleotide long non-coding RNA. RefSeq lists it as uncharacterized. Lineage: Eukaryota; Metazoa; Chordata; Mammalia; Rodentia; Bathyergidae. The record is from RefSeq and is a predicted model, not a curated record.